Molecule: ribosomal RNA, 165 nt
Filed under: uncultured bacterium
Lineage: Bacteria
Description: partial 16S rRNA
Rfam family: Bacterial small subunit ribosomal RNA
Source: RNAcentral
UAGGGAAUCUUCCACAAUGGGCGCAAGCCUGAUGGAGCAACGCCGCGUGAGUGAAGAAGGUCUUCGGAUCGUAAAGCCCUGUUGUAAGAGAAGAACGUGUGUGAGAGUGGAAAGUUCACACAGUGACGGUAACUUACCAGAAAGGGACGGCUAACUACGUGCCAG